This 1774-nucleotide long non-coding RNA is filed under the name Rattus norvegicus (Norway rat). Its description in RNAcentral is "long non-coding RNA NONRATT012242". The record is from RNAcentral. Lineage: Eukaryota; Metazoa; Chordata; Mammalia; Rodentia; Muridae.
AGUACCAAAGAGUAGUCUUCAGUACAGCCUCAUUCAGGUCAGGGCCAGUCCCUAAGCUCUGCCUGCUUGCUUCCUAACUAGCUAGUUGUCCUAACCAGCCACAGCCUGCCAGACACUCUCUUCUCCAUUGUCCUUGCCUUCCCCCAUGAGUUCUAGCCAGUCCACAAGACAGAUCCAUCAACUCAGGCAAAAAGCGUAUAGGUUAAACUGAGACCACAGGGGCAGUGCCGGCCUCCCACCCCAGACUGGCUUUCUGUAUCAGAAGCUGCCUUCAAUCAUUACCAUUUCCUUCCUUGAACAGGAUGGGCAAAGUGACAUCAGGCCUCGUGGGAAAGGAAUAUUCAUGGUGCCCUUCACCCAGUCUGUUAUACCACAGAGCCAGGGUGCUGACACUGUGUGCUUCCUCCUUGUGGAGAUGUGAACCCGCUCAGCUUUAGGAUCUCAACGCCAUUCUCCCCCUCCCCCCCAGUUUGUUUGUUUUUUCUUUCUUCCCACUCUCAAAACUGAUGUAAUUUAAAAAACAGGUGCUUAAUCGCAGCUACAUUGUAACAGAAUACAUUAAAAAGACAUAUUAGAAAUCUCCGUGCAGGCCAUCCACAUAAACCAUUGUUUCCUUUGAGCUUGGGGGACAAAAAAAAAAAUGCACCAGAGAACAAAUUAACAAUCGGCAAAUUGAUUUCUCUUUGAGAAACUUCUAGGAACCCAAUGAGCCACUUACUUUGUCUAAUUAUCUUAUGACAAGUGUCACAUUAAGAUGACACUUAGAAGUCCUUAACAUUAUCUUAAUGGUGAAGAAGAGGGCUCAGUAGGCAAUUCCCAGGAAGGUAAUAAGAUGUCAUUUUCAGAGACGUUCCAAGAAGAUGUUUUGAUUCAUUAAAAUAUUAAAUCAAAAGCCCUCCUACGUCCGGAGCCCACAUCAGCAAGGCAGCCGGUGCCGCUUCUCAUGCCCCGCUCUGGGUUUUAAAUAUGACUAUUUACAGUGGUACUUAAGUUAGACCUUUGUUACGUCCUCCUGAGAAACAGUACUUCCGCUGGCCUCUUUUUGGAAGGAGCCUUUCAUUCUAAUAAUCAGGUGAGCAUAUGAGACUUUUUAAGCAUAUGAGGCUGUGAUGACAAACCGCUUGUUUAGGUAGGUCAUUUGUUGAGUCCUUAGUUUUAGAAAACCUUCAGUUGGUCCUGUUACUCUAAUCCUACAAACGGUUACUUACUACCAUUGCUGUGACAUCCAAUUCAAACCCAGAAUUCUCUUCCACCAGGGUUCAUUGUCUGCCACAUUAAUGUCUCUACAGAUCUUGUCAGCAUGAGGAUGGCUUCAUGGCUUUCUCUCGGUCCCUCCUUUAUGCCCACGUCCCUAAGUACACAGGAAAUGAUUUGUCUGUCCAGGUCUGUCCUCUGAUUGUCCCACAAUGCCAUUGACAUUGGCUUUGGUUUGGUUUUAUCUUGACCACACUGUACAGUAACAUCCAAGAGCCCUCUCUACAGUGGGUAGUUUGGUCUUUUUACACCUUUUCUCAGUCACUGAUGUUUGUCCCUGUUUAAUGUGUAGCCUUGUAAAAAAAAAAAAAAAAAAAAAAAGGCCAUCAAAUUCAGAGUGUCAGUCUGUUGUCCCUAUCGUAGGUGAAAUAGUGACGUAGAAAAAUCUAGUAUUCUGAAUGCUUUUCCAUGUAGACUUUUCUGGAAUGUGAACACGGCUCUUUGGUUAAUAGCAAGCGCUUCCCUGUAGUCCUGAGUAGGCGCAGUUCUGUCUGUCUCAAUAAAUUUUACUUUCUCCGCA